GACGAACGCUGGCGGCGUGCUUAACACAUGCAAGUCGAACGAUGAAGCCGGAGCUUGCUCUGGUGAAUUAGUGGCGAACGGGUGAGUAACACGUGAGUAACCUGCCCUUGACUCUGGGAUAACUGCGGGAAACUGUAGCUAAUACCGGAUACGACCCUCGGAGGCAUCUCCUGGGGGUGGAAAGAAUUUCGGUCAAGGAUGGACUCGCGGCCUAUCAGCUAGUUGGUGAGGUAAAGGCUCACCAAGGCGACGACGGGUAGCCGGCCUGAGAGGGUAACCGGCCACACUGGGACUGAGACACGGCCCAGACUCCUACGGGAGGCAGCAGUGGGGAAUAUUGCACAAUGGGCGCAAGCCUGAUGCAGCAACGCCGCGUGAGGGAUGACGGCCUUCGGGUUGUAAACCUCUUUUAGCAGGGAAGAAGCGAAAGUGACGGUACCUGCAGAAAAAGCACCGGCUAACUACGUGCCAGCAGCCGCAGUAA
This 484-nucleotide ribosomal RNA is filed under the name uncultured bacterium. RNAcentral describes it as "partial 16S ribosomal RNA". It matches the Rfam family "Bacterial small subunit ribosomal RNA", at positions 28 to 523 of the family's 1533-position model. The record is from RNAcentral.